UACGUAGGGUGCGAGCGUUGUCCGGAAUUAUUGGGCGUAAAGAGCUCGUAGGCGGUCUGUCGCGUCGAUCGUGAAAACUUGGGGCUUAACCCUGAGCUUGCGGUCGAUACGGGCAUGACUGGAGUUCGGCAGGGGAGAGUGGAAUUCCUGGUGUAGCGGUGAAAUGCGCAGAUAUCAGGAAGAACACCCGUGGCGAAGGCGGCUCUCUGGGACGGUACUGACGCUGAGACGCGAAAGCGUGGGGAGCGAACAGG
RNAcentral lists this ribosomal RNA (254 nucleotides) under uncultured bacterium. Its description in RNAcentral is "partial 16S ribosomal RNA". It matches the Rfam family "Bacterial small subunit ribosomal RNA", at positions 524 to 776 of the family's 1533-position model. The record is from RNAcentral.